GGUAAAAUGGCCGACAAAGGUGAUAAAUUGUAAAUUUAUUUAUGAAUUUUUUAAUUCUUUUACCA
Molecule: transfer RNA, 65 nt
Filed under: Ixodes cornuatus
Lineage: Eukaryota; Metazoa; Arthropoda; Arachnida; Ixodida; Ixodidae
Description: tRNA-Tyr
Source: RNAcentral